This 1898-nucleotide long non-coding RNA is filed under the name Gadus morhua (Atlantic cod). Its description in RNAcentral is "lncRNA (ENSGMOG00000029725.1)". Lineage: Eukaryota; Metazoa; Chordata; Actinopteri; Gadiformes; Gadidae. The record is from RNAcentral.
AUGGGAGCGGCUAAAAACAGUGAAGCGUACAGAAGCGAAUACAGCCAGGGGCGCCCUCAAGCCUUAAGGGAACGGGCCGCAGCCCCUGGUACCGGAACGCAGAUCCCUGGUCCAGGCGACGUGGGUGCAUCAGGUGGGAGGGGGGGCCCCCCACCGCCCUUGGGCCCCUGGGCAUGUGCCCGGUGUGCCCGUGCGGUAAUCCACCCUUGCCUGUAAACAAUGCAACGUGUGCGAACUCCUGUACCCGUCUGACUGUGAGAGUUACAGGCCCAGUAAGAGCCAAAAUAAGAUUUGGGGAACUAUGAAGACUGGGACCCAAAGGUAUGACCGUAACAGAUGUAAUGUGAGGAAUAACGAAGUGACCACAUCUAAGGGCAAAAUAUUUACCUCAAUAGACAUAAUGAAAUGCUACAUGUGUGAAGCACAUUAAGUUACACCAAUCACAGGAGCACUAACAACAGUCUUUUUAUUCAAAAAAACAAUUAAAAAAUAACAACUACAAAAAAUAGAUUGUAAACUAUUAACAUAAAAGAUAAAUCAAUAAAGAGUAGAACAAACAAAGUCUCAACGGGGGGGGGGGGGGGGGGGGGAACACACUGACGCCUUCCUCAGUGAGGUGGACGCCACUCUCGCUUCACGCUCUGUCGCCCGACAUCGCCGUCACCGCCGCCAUAGAUGCCAAGCGCCGCCAUUAUGCUGCAUCAUCAGACUACAUUUGAGUCGUGUGGCGCAGGCGUCACGGGGAGGGGGACGGGGAGGGGGAGAUGUGUUUGACUCAAAAGAGGCAAACACCUUCAGGUUUCUCCUGUCCAUCAUCUCCACACAGAACAGUUCAUAGUCAGUAUGUAAUCUGAAUGAGAAUUGGAAUGGUUUCCACGUUUCUUCCUCAUCCCCGCCGUCAUGGGAUUUGCGCUGUGUUGAUGCUGCCAUCUGCUCCCAACCUUCCAUCCCAAUGACCUCUGGGAGAGAAACGCUGUCCUUGAAAGACUGUAACUGGCACCAUGCUGCUGCCUGAAUUGUGUCCUUCAGGACAACAUCAUCUUCCUUGAAGAAGAAAGAAAAAUUAUUUGUGUCUGUACUUGACACCCUACUCUCCAAAAACCACAAAAUGGUAUGCAAACAAAGGCUACUACUACUGAUGAGUUUUCACUGAUAAAAAACACUAUUCAACUAGUCAUCAGACUAUUUCAUCUGGCUAUACAUACAACCUCCAGCAUUACACACAUAUUACAUACCAGGUUCCCAGGUUCCAGUUCCUGGUCUUCAGUUUUGUCUGGAAAUAAAACAGAUUGUUGUCUGUAAUGUUGAGUAGGCUAAUACAAUGGAAUAAUAAUAGUAGGCCCUAGUAGUGCAAUAGAUCAGUCAUGGAGUAGGCUAUAACUUGUAUAUUGAUGGUGUCUCUAAAAGUCAAAGAAAACCAGUAUAAACAUAAAAGCAGUUUUCUACAAAAAAACAUUGCAGCGUUUCGGUUUUCUAUUUUUCGGCUGCUUUGUAUAAGAUGGCUUGUGCAUAUACACAAUGUAAUUAGACUAAAAUAACAUUGAUAUUCGAUUUCUGUGGACCCUUAUGAACAUUUCAAGACCCAACAUGAAGUAUCAACUCAUUGCUAAGGAUAUCCACAACGACGAUAAAGUAAGAACGCACCAAGGGUGGGGGAGGCUAUUUUGACCUAAGACACUAGGAUAUAUUUGAUCUAUAUUCACUAAACAUAUUUAUUCCACCGAAUGGUUGACAUUGGUUGACAAAACAACCUGAGAUUCUAAGCUUUCAAACGGUGUAUGACAUGACUAUAUCACUCAAACUUAUGAUGCUGAAAAUUGACCUAGCAUGUUGGGGGGAACAUGCUAGGUGUAACUUAAACUUUCUCGCCGGCGGGAUUUGACGAUUAAGUAGUUAAC